GAUGAAGAACGUAGCGAAAUGCGAUACGUAAUGUGAAUUGCAGAAUUCAGUGAAUCAUCGAGUCUUUGAACGCACAUUGCGCCCCCUGGUAUUCCGGGGGGCAUGCCUGUCCGAGCGUCAUUGCUGCCCUCAAGCACGGCUUGUGUGUUGGGCCUCCGUCCUCCUCCCGGGGGACGGGCCCGAAAGGCAGCGGCAGCACCGCGUCCGGUCCUCGAGCGUAUGGGGCUUCGUCACCCGCUCUUGUAGGCCCGGCCGGCGCUUGCCGACACAUCAAUCUUUUUUCCAGGUUGACCUCGGAUCAGGUAGGGAUACCCGCUGAACUUAAGCAUAUCAAUAAGCGGAGG
Molecule: unclassified non-coding RNA, 344 nt
Filed under: soil metagenome
Description: partial contains 5.8S ribosomal RNA, internal transcribed spacer 2, and large subunit ribosomal RNA
Rfam family: 5.8S ribosomal RNA (bases 1-120)
Source: RNAcentral